RNAcentral lists this ribosomal RNA (274 nucleotides) under uncultured bacterium. RNAcentral's name for it is "partial 16S ribosomal RNA". It matches the Rfam family "Bacterial small subunit ribosomal RNA", at positions 523 to 796 of the family's 1533-position model. The record is from RNAcentral.
AUACGGAGGGUGCAAGCGUUACUCGGAAUCACUGGGCGUAAAGCGUACGUAGGCGGUUCGUUAAGUUAGAUGUGAAAGCCCCGGGCUUAACCUGGGAACUGCAUUUAAAACUGGCGGACUAGAGUUGAGUAGAGGGGAGUGGAAUUUCAGGUGUAGCGGUGAAAUGCGUAGAGAUCUGAAGGAACACCAGUGGCGAAGGCGACUCCCUGGACUCGAACUGACGCUGAGGUACGAAAGCGUGGGUAGCAAACGGCAUUAGAAACCCCAGUAGUCC